CCAGCAGCCGCGGUAAUUCCAGCUCCAAUAGCGUAUAUUAAAGUUGUUGCAGUUAAAAAGCUCGUAGUUGGAUUUCUGAUGAAGAUGGCGGUCCGUGUAUAUUAAUACAUGUGUACCGUUCAAUUACAAAUUUUCAUCAUAUUUGUAUUUAUAUGGUUUACUAUAUGGAUACAUCAUUUACUGUGAACAAAUUAGAGUGUUUAAAGCAGGCAAUCGCUUGAAUACUUCAGCAUGGAAUAAUAAGAUAGGACUUGGGUGCUAUUUUGUUGGUUGCGUACCGAAGUAAUGAUUAAUAGGGAUAGUUGGGGGUAUUCAUAUUUCAUUGUCAGAGGUGAAAUUCUUGG
Molecule: ribosomal RNA, 344 nt
Filed under: uncultured eukaryote
Lineage: Eukaryota
Description: SSU rRNA
Rfam family: Eukaryotic small subunit ribosomal RNA
Source: RNAcentral